This 285-nucleotide ribosomal RNA is filed under the name Exophiala salmonis. Its description in RNAcentral is "partial 28S ribosomal RNA". It matches the Rfam family "Eukaryotic large subunit ribosomal RNA", at positions 351 to 650 of the family's 3401-position model. Lineage: Eukaryota; Fungi; Ascomycota; Eurotiomycetes; Chaetothyriales; Herpotrichiellaceae. The record is from RNAcentral.
GAGUGAUCGAAAGAUGAAAAGCACUUUGAAAAGAGAGUUAAACAGUAUGUGAAAUUGUUGAAAGGGAAGCGCUUACAACCAGACUUGCGCGCGGCGGUUCCCCCUUCCUUUUGGUUGGGCUACUCCGUCGUGUCCAGGCCAACAUCGGUUCUGGGGGUCGGUUAAAGACCUUGGGAAUGUACCUACCCUUCGGGCGUAGACUUAUAGCCCAGGGUGUCAUGCGACCUCCCGGGACCGAGGAACGCGCUUCGGCUCGGAUGUUGGCGUAAUGGUUGUCAGCGACCC